AGUGAACGCUGGCGGUAGGCCUAACACAUGCAAGUCGAACGGCAGCACAGUAAGAGCUUGCUCUUACGGGUGGCGAGUGGCGGACGGGUGAGGAAUACAUCGGAAUCUACUUUUUCGUGGGGGAUAACGUAGGGAAACUUACGCUAAUACCGCAUACGACCUACGGGUGAAAGCAGGGGAUCUUCGGACCUUGCGCGAUUGUAUGAGCCGAUGUCGGAUUAGCUAGUUGGCGGGGUAAAGGCCCACCAAGGCGACGAUCCGUAGCUGGUCUGAGAGGAUGAUCAGCCACACUGGAACUGAGACACGGUCCAGACUCCUACGGGAGGCAGCAGUGGGGAAUAUUGGACAAUGGGCGCAAGCCUGAUCCAGCCAUACCGCGUGGGUGAAGAAGGCCUUCGGGUUGUAAAGCCCUUUUGUUGGGAAAGAAAAGCAGCAGGUUAAUACCCCGCUGUUCUGACGGUGCCCAAAGAAUAAGCACCGGCUAACUUCGUG
Molecule: ribosomal RNA, 492 nt
Filed under: uncultured bacterium
Lineage: Bacteria
Description: partial 16S ribosomal RNA
Rfam family: Bacterial small subunit ribosomal RNA
Source: RNAcentral